GGAAAACAAAAUACACGUUACUAAAAAGAAUCAAACCUUAAUUUCAGUCAGUCUAAGGUUCAACUAAAUGAUAAAAUUAAAAUUGGGAACAGCUUUUUAUUUGUUCAAUAACAGAAGAAGCAAAGAAAGUCUCUGUGCCACUAAAUUAAAAGUUACAAAAACAACAAUGGCACCUUAUCAAAGCAAAGGCUCACUCAACUGUACUGUCAUUCUCUUCAGUAACCUAAUUGAGUUCAUUUGUGAAUACUAAAAAAGAUAUGGAAGUCCAGAGAAUGAAAAAAUC
Molecule: unclassified non-coding RNA, 283 nt
Filed under: Hevea brasiliensis (rubber tree)
Lineage: Eukaryota; Viridiplantae; Streptophyta; Magnoliopsida; Malpighiales; Euphorbiaceae
Source: RNAcentral